Molecule: long non-coding RNA, 1745 nt
Filed under: Felis catus (domestic cat)
Lineage: Eukaryota; Metazoa; Chordata; Mammalia; Carnivora; Felidae
Description: lncRNA (ENSFCAG00000053563.1)
Source: RNAcentral
UAAAAAAAUAAAAAAAGAUUCUACCCUCAGAGAGGAGGAAAAGAAGAAAAAAAAUAAAGAAAAGUGGAGAUGGGGGUGGCGGGGGAGAACCAUCUGAUGACUAAUAUGGACUUCGCAGAUUUUCCAACAUAACAAGGAGUGUCUGGAAUAGGAAACAAAUGCAUUUCUGGUUAUAAAAAGACUGAAGUAAAUACAUUGAUGUUGAACCAGUUGUGAUGCUUUUAACCACAAAUAAUAGAUAACUGAUGUGAGCAAUAAGGAAACACGUGGUUUUAACACUAAGACCAGAGAUAAGGCAGAAUCUGGGUGAUAAGUUUCCAUUCCCCUACAGAUUUCUCAGGCUCUGCCUUCUAGGCAUAUUUGCUUUAUCUUCAAAUUAUGUCAAAUAACAUAAUAAAUUAAUGGCUUCAUUUCUUCUUUUUAUUCCAUUUCAUUCUUGCCACAUUCCUCGUCCUUAAAAAUUGUAAAAAUAUAAUUUUAUCAAUCUUUUCAUAGGUUUUUGCUGGCAUUUAUUUACUUGCUUACGUAUUUAGAACCUAUGCCAGGGAAACACAAUUCUUGCUCUUUAGGAGCUUGUUGUCUCUUUCUUAUUACAUGAAAUAGACAAAUGCAUGACAAAUGCGUGACCUAAACACCCGUCUAGAAGUUUACAUCUUUGAGAACCGGUGGCCACAUUGAGUGGAACAGCCAGAUUGGUCAGUCGAAAUUAUUCCUGACAGGAAACUUGUAUCAGCAGGCUUUUCUGUUCUUCAGUGAUUUAGAUCCCUCAGUGACUAAUGCUUGUGGAACUAUUGACGAUUCUUGCUAAAUGUCUUUAUCAAAAGACAAGAGUGAGGUUUUAAUUCUCCAUGAACUUCUUUUUCUCUUUCCUCCCAGGAAAAAAAUCAUGAAGGGGGCUCUCUAGGGCAUGCCUCCAGGAAAAAGGCCAGUACUCUUGAUCCAGGGGUGAAGUCAUUAACAAGUAACGUGUCGGCCUUACAGAGGAUUUCCUUUCAUCCAAACCACUCUCUACAACACAUCCUGCCAUUCUAUCCCUGUCUUUUUCUCUGCUCUAAAAAAGGAGAAACACACAAAAGCUGUUUUAGGGAUACUUGUCAACAAUUAAAAUACCACCUUUUGAAGCAUUUAUUCCUUUGAUACAAUGUGUUCUCUCAUGAUGACGUAUAGAGACAAGUUACAGGUUUGACCUGGUCAUCUUAGCUUUUUAUAGGAUUGGGAAGAAUGCAAAGACUGUGAAGAUGCUAAAUGAAUCUUCCUGGUGCUAGCAGAGGUAAAUAAGGCUGUGAUGGGCAAUUUGGAGUAUCAAGGAAAACCUUUGCCUACUGAACAUUACAGGCAGUGUUGGCCUAAUGCAUAUGGCUAGUGAGGAAUAUACAAGUAUGGUAUAAUCACGGAAAGCUCUUGGAAUAACACCUGGUCCUAUCAAACUUUGUUCAAUUUUUUACUAAUUUGAAGUUAUGUGAACAAAAGUUUAAUUGUUAAAAUAUCCACUGUCAGAACGUAUUUCACAGUAAGUGAGCAGUCAGAAACACUUCGCCACUUGUUAGCUGUGUAAAUGUCAACUCUUAGAGCCUUGUUUUCAGUUAAAGUGGAUUUAAGGGGCACUUGGGUGGCUUAGUCGGUUAAGAGUCUGACUCUUGAUUUUGGUUCAGGUCAUGAUCUCAUGGAUCUGAGGUCGAUCCCCAUGUUGGGCUCUGCCCUGACAGCAAGGCACCUGCUUGGGACUCUCUCUCUCUCCCUCUCUC